RNAcentral lists this ribosomal RNA (267 nucleotides) under uncultured bacterium. Its description in RNAcentral is "partial 16S ribosomal RNA". It matches the Rfam family "Bacterial small subunit ribosomal RNA", at positions 333 to 615 of the family's 1533-position model. The record is from RNAcentral.
AGGCUCCUACGGGGCGCAGCAGUGGGGAAUAUUGGGCAAUGGGCGCAAGCCUGACCCAGCGACGCCGCGUGAAGGAAGAAGGCUUUCGGGUUGUAAACUUCUUUUAAGAGGGAAGAGCAGAAGACGGUACCUCUUGAAUAAGCCUCGGCUAACUACGUGCCAGCAGCCGCGGUAAUACGUAGGUGGCAAGCGUUGUCCGGAUUUACUGGGUGUAAAGGGCGUGUAGCCGGGCUGACAAGUCAGAUGUGCAAUUCCGGGGCUCAACUC